This 72-nucleotide transfer RNA is filed under the name Ictidomys tridecemlineatus (thirteen-lined ground squirrel). RNAcentral's name for it is "Spermophilus tridecemlineatus (thirteen-lined ground squirrel) tRNA". It matches the Rfam family "tRNA". Rfam says of the family: Transfer RNA (tRNA) molecules are approximately 80 nucleotides in length. Their secondary structure includes four short double-helical elements and three loops (D, anti-codon, and T loops). Further hydrogen bonds mediate the characteristic L-shaped molecular structure. tRNAs have two regions of fundamental functional importance: the anti-codon, which is responsible for specific mRNA codon recognition, and the 3' end, to which the tRNAs corresponding amino acid is attached (by aminoacyl-tRNA synthetases). tRNAs cope with the degeneracy of the genetic code in two manners: having more than one tRNA (with a specific anti-codon) for a particular amino acid; and 'wobble' base-pairing, i.e. permitting non-standard base-pairing at the 3rd anti-codon position. The record is from Rfam by way of RNAcentral. Lineage: Eukaryota; Metazoa; Chordata; Mammalia; Rodentia; Sciuridae.
GGAGCUGGAGCUCAGUGAUAGAGUGCUUGCCCAGCAUGUGCAAGGCCCUGGGUUCAAAUCCCAGCACCCCCA